RNAcentral lists this unclassified non-coding RNA (3989 nucleotides) under Hevea brasiliensis (rubber tree). The record is from RNAcentral. Lineage: Eukaryota; Viridiplantae; Streptophyta; Magnoliopsida; Malpighiales; Euphorbiaceae.
GAUCCAAGUUGAUUUUAAUUUUCUAGGUCAUUAACUUAGGUGUGCUUUAGUUCCCUAAUUUCGAACACCUAAUCGUCCAAAAUAUGAGUCUGAAUCUUUACAUAAUUCCUACACGGAAAUUUUUUUUUCCUUUAAUAGAAAUUAUGUAAAGAGGGGCAGCUGUCGACACCAUAUUUUGGCCGAUCCCCAAAAUCAACAAGACUUUGAAACCGAUCCCCAGCACUAAAUUUUCCUUUGCCAGCCAACUACAUUUCCGACCUCUCUUUGCCAUAUUACCGAUCUCUCUUCACAGAGAAUUGAAUCAAUGCUAAGCCCUCGUAUCAUCUAAAGUCUUGCCAAGUCGCUCACCGAUCUCUCAAGCCAAUUGUCAAAUUUCCUGACCGGUCGAUUACAUUCCCGAUCUCUCCUGUCAAACAAAAUUGAAUCAAUACUAGAUCUUUAUGUCACUGGUCUUAUUGCCGAUCUCUCAUUUUAAGUUCAGGAAUAAUUAAGAUUCCAAUCCGAUGUAAUGAUGAUCUUGAUUUUAAGUGGGUUCACCAAAUUUCCAAUUUUAAUCAAGUCCCGUUUAGCGUUGGUUCCCUGCCGAUCUCAUGCUUAUUGUGUUUUCCGACCUCUUAUACUUAGAUUAAUAAUCACUUUUAGUUGUUUUAAUAUGCUCAGACAAUCAAAUGCUUAAGUAAUUUAGAGAUUUUCCGAUCACAUCCAUUCACUGAACAAAAAGGGAAUUUCAUUUCAUAUUAAAAUUUGUACAAGUCAUUCGGCUGGAGGAUCACCCCCAGCCUGUUCUACAUCAAUAUUUCGCUCACCCUCUCUAUCUCCCUCGGGCUCCUCCUCGCUCUCAUCUUCGGCCUCUGGGACAAGCUCGUUCAUCUAGGAAAAAUCCUCUUCAGGAUACCGUUUCUUUAGCUCGGCCAUAAGGUCGUUAUGAGCAUUCACAUAAGCCCCGGCCUCCUUCUUAGUGCUCUUCUCUUCCUUAGCUCAAAGCUCCUCAUCCUUGGAUCGGAGCUCUUCCUCCUUCGCCCAAAGGUCUUCAGCAUGACGAGCAAGAUCGGCAGACCAACUAGCUCGAGAGUCUUUGAGUUCCCGUUCCACUUCAAUGAUCCUCUCCUCAUAACGCUUCAUUUGAUCCUCCAUUCUGGCGAUGUACUCGUUGGCAGAGGAGAGCUGAGCUUGUGCAGCAGAGGCAUCUUGGACAGCCUUAAGAAUCUCUUUCUUUAAGCCGUGGGCUUUCUCUCUGAGAAUAUGCUGGUUUGCGAUGGCCUCUAAGCCUAAGCUUAUUGUCUGAGCCAAGAUAUCAUCCAUGCUCUCCUCUGCUAACCGGUUCCGGUCUUCUUGAAAGCAAAUAGAAGCUCCCAUAACUUUGGCUAAGCCGGGAUUCCCCCUAGUAGAGCGGUUCCUUUCCAAUGAUUGGAUCAGAAGUUGUGCGCCCCGGAAAAGUGUCCUGACAGCGGGACCAGAUGACUCCCCUUCUACAUUGGAAGAGCUCGGAGGAGAAGGGGGAGGUGGAAGCUCGACCUAUUGAGGAGCCGGGGGAAGGACAUUCACCUCAGGGAUCGGUUGCUCCUGAGAUCGAGGAGGAGAGCUCGGCACCUCUACUGAUUCACGACGAGGGGUCUGAGCAUCAGCAAUGGUGGCCCCCUUCAUCGCCGUCACUUUUCGUGAGACGUCCCUCUUUCGCUUGCGGCUCUCCUUUGCAGCCUCACCACACGCCAUACCUGCACAAAGAAUAAGUUAGUGAGUUCGCUAAGAUUGAGAGACUAGGGAUCUGGAUUAUACCGAUCACAGGACCGAGGUCAGAGAGUUGCAACUCAUAAUCCUCACGGGCGAUCAACCGCAUCAUCCACCACUUCAGUUCAGCUAUGACUGCAUCCAAACAUGAAUAUUUGUGAAUGGUCGCCUGAUUUUUCAAUUCCUUCACCAUGGCUUCAUCUUUAUUUAGGGCGAUCUUCUUGGGCACUUGGGGGAUCAAGUAAUUCCAAUUACGCGGGAUCCCCUCAAAGCCAUUUCGAUCCUUGCUUCUAAGUAUGAAAAAUCAAUCUUUCUAGUUCUUCAGCGAAGAAGGGAGAUUGGUGAAGAGCCCGCAGUUUGGCUUGGCCUGGAAAAAUCAAAAUUCAUUAUCUUUUCUCUAGGCAAGCCUAUGCAGUUUGGCAAAAACUUUAAUCGUAGGCUCUAGCCUCUUAGCUUGGUAGAGACCUCUAAAGGCUACUAGAGUUUACCAAGAGUUCGGAUGCACCUGAGCUACAUUAACAUGAUGGAAUUUUAGAACAGCUUUGUAAAAUCCAUUUAGGGGAAAACGGAGUCCGGCUUGUAGCUGCGUCUUGUACACCAUGAUAAGAUUGCCUUUGUCAAAGAAAUGAUAAGCUUGAAGAUCGCCAUGGCAUCGGAUGAGUUCAUAAGAAUCGAUUGGAAGAUUGUAUUCUUGACUGAUAAAUUGGAGAUCGGUCUCUUUAAGGAUUGACGGCAGUUCAUCAACAGGCAGGUUCUCCUUCCUCGAAGACGAUGCUCGUUUCGGUCUACUAGCUUGACUAGUAACCAAAAUAAUGGCUGUGUUAGAUCGCCCACUUGGCCCAACCGCAUCACCUUCUUCCGAUGUCCAUGAAUUUGAACGGAAGGUGGGCUUGCAACUCUCUGACCCUCGGUACCACUCAUUUUCAGAAAAUAAAAAUGAAUUAAUUGGAAGAAGAUUAAAGCCCUUACCGGAGUAUAAACCAGCACCGGAAAGCUCUAGGAAAAGGGAGAGUGUCGAAAUUGCCAAAAGAAGUCUGAAAAUGACAUAAGGGAGCAAAUGACUAUCCCCCUCUCUAUUUAUACCCGCUGAGGCAUUAAAUGCUUACGAAAUCCCAAGUGACGCAUCGGAUAACAGGACCGGGCCAUUCCAAUAACACUCUCAAAAGAAAAUUCCAGAAACAUAAUAAAGAGAUAGGACAAGUAAGAUCGGUUACUGAGGAUCAUCAGAUAGAAUAGGGUUUCGAACCAACAGAUCGGCAGAAUGGCGAUUCGGCUAGGGGUCAGAUCGGGCAUAGUUAUCAGAGAUCGGAAUAAUAAUCAAUGCAAUAAUAGAAGCAGAAUAAGCAUAUUCAAAUUUCAAUAAUAAAUUUCAUUUCCAAAAGGUCAAAACUACAUCAUUUGGGUGAUCUCUCAAGAUCAGCAAUUACAAAUGUCUCUACACUACAUUCUACCUAACUCGGACUACUCCCAGAACCCAAAAUGUCGCAUAAGAGGCCUAUGUCAAAGCCUAGUUUUGUGGCUGAAUCAAAAGAUGUGUUUGAUCAGAAAGCCAGCCAUAGGCAUCGGAUAGAUGUGCAGCUCAGAUGGAGUGACUAUGACUCUCAUGAUGAUGAGGAGUCAUCAUCGAUGUCACCGACCAGAACCGAGCCGCAGUCGGGACGCCCGAUGUGGUGAGGAGCCAAAUGAACUUCAAGAGGCUUUCACUCACAGAUAUCAAGAUAGAUAUUAACAGGGUUCCCAAGAAAAAGAAUUUGAUUGAGGCUAUGGAGAAGGCUGAUGUUAAGAACAAGUGGGAGAAUAGCUCGUGGGGCAGAAAGCUUGUUGUCCAGAAGAGAAGAGCAGCUCUCAACGACUUCGAUAGGUUCAAGCUGAUGUUAGCUAAGAUCAAGAGGGGUGGAUUGAUCAGGCAAGAGCUGGCCAAGCUGAAGAAAGAGAAUCCAGCCUAAAAUUUUCAUAUUAAAUUAUCAAUUUUGUUAUCAAUAUGCUGCAAGUUAAUUUGGAAUCUUAUCCAUUUGGUUUCCUAGUCACUUAGAGAUUGAGAACAGUUUUAAGGAAAGCUUUCUUUUAUGUGACAGUUUUUGUAGUGAGCUUGUGCAACCUGUACUUCGACAGUAUUCUUGCGCUUUUUGCAUAGCUAAUAUUUCUUUGAAUUCUUGUUAUGGUGCAUUUUCUCUUCCCAUGAUAUGCUGUGCUUCAUCUUUAAGACAAUAUUUGACAAGGCAAUGUAAUUAAACAUUUUAUUAUAUUUCAGUGAAUAUUUG